This is a long non-coding RNA of Clupea harengus (Atlantic herring), 499 nucleotides long. The record is from Ensembl. Lineage: Eukaryota; Metazoa; Chordata; Actinopteri; Clupeiformes; Clupeidae.
UGAGCAGCGACUAGGUAUGUUAAUGACAUGUGGUUCAAUUAAGUACUCACUCUCUUAAACUUUAAAUCUUGAAAGAAAUUAUUCGUUUGUUUUUGUGCGUGUGAACUUGAUUUUGUGUGGUGAAUGUAAACUCAGCUGUCAUAACAAGCGGCAGGAGAGCACCUUGUUAACCUCGUGGUAUACUGCAUGCUCAAAACAUCAUAGCAUUGUUUAUUUAGGCUGCUCACAUAGCAUUUAUCUUUGUAUUAACAGGCCAAAGAAAAGGACUCACUCUGAAGACUUUUCCAAACAGCACUUUGAACAGGUGACAGGAGCCAAAGAAUUUGAGAGGCUUGCUGCCGUCGCCAAGCUGGUCCUGGUGUUGGCCCAUUCGAAUGCAGAUGCUGAGAGGGUGUUUUCAGUUGUGGGACUGAACAAAACUAAGACCAGAAAUAGCCUGGCAUUGGAUGGCACCCUGUCUUCAAUAAUGGCCAUAAAGAUGGCCGACCUGGAGCCCUGU